Molecule: non-coding RNA, 24 nt
Filed under: Rattus norvegicus (Norway rat)
Lineage: Eukaryota; Metazoa; Chordata; Mammalia; Rodentia; Muridae
Source: RNAcentral
UGCUGUUCCCAUAGCCUGCACUGC